GAUCCUGGCUCAGAUUGAACGCUGGCGGCAUGCUUUACACAUGCAAGUCGAACGGCAGCAUGGGCUUCGGCCUGAUGGCGAGUGGCGAACGGGUGAGUAAUACAUCGGAACGUGCCUGGUAGUGGGGGAUAACUACUCGAAAGAGUAGCUAAUACCGCAUGAGAUCUACGGAUGAAAGCGGGGGAUCGCAAGACCUCGCGCUACCAGAGCGGCUGAUGGCAGAUUAGGUAGUUGGUGGGAUAAAAGCUUACCAAGCCGACGAUCUGUAGCUGGUCUGAGAGGACGACCAGCCACACUGGGACUGAGACACGGCCCAGACUCCUACGGGAGGCAGCAGUGGGGAAUUUUGGACAAUGGGCGCAAGCCUGAUCCAGCAAUGCCGCGUGCAGGAUGAAGGCCUUCGGGUUGUAAACUGCUUUUGUACGGAACGAAAAGGCUCUCUCUAAUACAGAGAGCCGAUGACGGUACCGUAAGAAUAAGCAC
RNAcentral lists this ribosomal RNA (483 nucleotides) under Comamonas sp. PC. RNAcentral's name for it is "bacterial SSU rRNA". It matches the Rfam family "Bacterial small subunit ribosomal RNA", at positions 15 to 493 of the family's 1533-position model. The record is from RNAcentral. Lineage: Bacteria; Pseudomonadati; Pseudomonadota; Betaproteobacteria; Burkholderiales; Comamonadaceae.